UGAUACGCGAGGAACCUUACCUGGGCUCAAAUGUAUGUUGUACGUAUUUCUGAAAGGGAUACUUCUUCGGACAAUAUACAGGUGCUGCAUGGUUGUCGUCAGCUCGUGCCGUGAGGUGUCGGGUUAAGUCCCAUAACGAGCGCAACCCCUAUCAUUAGUUGCCAUCAGGUCAAGCUGGGGACUCUAAUGAAACUGCCUACGCAAGUAGUGAGGAAGGUGGGGAUGACGUCAAAUCAGCACGGCCCUUACGUCCAGGGCUACACACGUGCUACAAUGGCCGGUACAAAGGGCAGCUACCUGGUGACAGGAUGCUAAUCUCAAAAGCCGGUCUCAGUUCGGAUCGGAGUCUGCAACCCGACUCCGCGAAGCUGGAAUCGCUAGUAAUCGCGCAUCAGCCAUGGCGCGGUGAAUACGUUCCCGGGCCUU
Molecule: ribosomal RNA, 426 nt
Filed under: uncultured Sphingobacteriales bacterium
Lineage: Bacteria; Pseudomonadati; Bacteroidota; Sphingobacteriia; Sphingobacteriales
Description: bacterial SSU rRNA
Rfam family: Bacterial small subunit ribosomal RNA
Source: RNAcentral